CGCUUUCUUUCUCCCUCCCCGAUCCUUUCCCUCUCUCUCACAUUCUCUCGUUCUUCUAACUUUCGUAGCAAAAGCCGCGUUCGGUGCUUUGGUUUGUUGUAAAGCAAAGACUUGUGUCCAGAGCCUCAGGGACUGAGGCGAAGUUUCAGGGGCCGCUCUGUGCUCUGCAAUUAGAUUGACACAUGUACAACAUCCCCAGCUAUUCAAGGGGGUUCGCAGGGACACUCCAAGGGGAUUUUUUUUUUUCCCUUUUUCUUUUUGGGUGGAAGAUAUUAAAGAGGUAUCUGUUGUUUGGCAAUUUUGCUAAGUCUGUCUUCAUUACUUCAACAUUGUGCAUUUGCUAAUUUGGAAGCCCCUUCCUAUUGACAGCUCUGCUCCAUACACCUGCAAGCAAUUUGCAGAGCUCCAAUAUAGGAGAAUUGCAGAGAUGGCAGCUCGCACCUAUUUUAUUUUUUUUUUUCUUCGCUUUUCUCAAUGCACAGCAAAUUUGGCUUUCAGUGCGUUAUCUCUUUUGUUAAUGCAAAAAGAUUCCCUGGGCGAAAAAAUUGCUCAUAAUUACCAGAGAGAUGGGGAAACUGCAUUAGAAUAAAUAAACCUGAAAUUACUG
This is a non-coding RNA of Lonchura striata (white-rumped munia), 607 nucleotides long. The record is from RefSeq and is a predicted model, not a curated record. NCBI's taxonomy places the organism in Eukaryota, Metazoa, Chordata, Aves, Passeriformes, Estrildidae.